This 253-nucleotide ribosomal RNA is filed under the name uncultured bacterium. RNAcentral describes it as "partial 16S ribosomal RNA". It matches the Rfam family "Bacterial small subunit ribosomal RNA", at positions 524 to 776 of the family's 1533-position model. The record is from RNAcentral.
UACGGAGGGUGCAAGCGUUAUCCGGAUUCACUGGGUUUAAAGGGUGCGUAGGCGGCUUAUUAAGUCAGUGGUGAAAGCUCGCAGCUUAACUGUGAAACUGCCAUUGAAACUGAUAAGCUUGAAUGUGGUUGAAGUGGGCGGAAUACAACAUGUAGCGGUGAAAUGCUUAGAUAUGUUGUAGAACACCGAUUGCGAAGGCAGCUCACUAAACCAAUAUUGACGCUGAGGCACGAAAGCGUGGGUAGCGAACAGG